Leucoraja erinaceus (little skate) is the source of this 2168-nucleotide long non-coding RNA. RefSeq lists it as uncharacterized. The record is from RefSeq and is a predicted model, not a curated record. The transcript has 3 exons. Lineage: Eukaryota; Metazoa; Chordata; Chondrichthyes; Rajiformes; Rajidae.
UUCCACCCUGUAUCUCUAAAACUAAGCAGUAUUGAAGGGCCCCCGGGGGUGACAUGCUUUAGAAAAACAUCAAUUGCAGAUUGCUGUAUGAAGGAACGGCAGAUGCUGGUUUAAACCGAAAAUAGACACAAAAUGCUGGAGGAACUCAGCGGGACAGGCAGCAUCCCGGAAGAGAAAGAAUGGGUGAUGUUUCAGGUCAAGGAAGAUUCUGAAGAAGGGUCUCGACCCGAAAUGUCACCCACUCCUUCUCUCCAGAUAUGCUGCCUGUCCCGCUGAGUUACUCCAGCUUUUUGUGUUUAAUCACAAACUCCUUGGUGUCUAGGAGUCCUAGAGCAUUAUCCACCCUAUUCAAAUAUUUCUCUCACAUUCAACCUCCUUAAAACGAUUAUGUCGUUAAACGUGACGAAUGCCUGCAACUUUUCUGUCAUGUUUACAACUGUACCACAGUGACUAGGCAUCGGAAAUAAUUAAAUGGCUGGAAAGUGCCUUGAGGUAUCCUGAUGUUUAUAACAAAAUGGCAAAAUGUAGGUAAUUUCUAAAUUGUGUGGAAUGAGAGACAUUAGCACGAAGGCCCUGAGAGUCCCCACUGUAUCUCUCAACUAAAUGAAUACCAUAGUCUAGAUUUGAUUAUGAACCUUCAACACUAAAUCAAGGGUAUUUCAGGAUAUAACUUGUAGAAUUAUAAAUGACUAAGUCAAGGUCAGAGCAAAAUAGGGCAUCACAGAGUGGCACAGUGGCGCUGCUGCUAGAGCUGCUGCCUCACAGUGCCAGUGACCCGGGUUCAAUCCUGACCUUGGAUUCUGUCUGUACGGAGUUUGUACAUUCUCCUUGUGACCGUGUGGGUUUUCUCCUGGUGCUCCGGUUUCCUCCCACAUCCUAAAGACGUGCAGGUUUGUGGUUAAAUGGCCUCUGUAAAUGGACCUAAUGUGUAGUGAGCUGAUGCGAAAGUGGGAUAACAUAGAACUAGUGUGAACGGGUGAUCGAUGGCCAACAUGGACCCGGUGGGUCAAAGGCCCUGUGAGACCCCACUGUAUCUCUAAACUAAAUGAAACUGAACUAAACAGAAUUCUCAAGCUAGUUGUCUACAGACUCCAGCCUGUGAAUCAUAUUUCUAGGCUGGUGUUAUGAGCUUUUGUGUCCAACAAUCUCUAUAAUACCGACAGCACAAAUUAAAAUCUUUUGAACAGCUCAUCCACCUAUUGCUUGGGGCCGUAGGAGAGGCAAACCUGUUGGUUUACAAUCUUUCUUGACGCGGGAAAGUCUUUGUGUGGCAAACUGGUGCAUUACUUACUUGACCGAUAUGGAGAAAUCACCAGAAUUUGACUGGGAGGCAUGGUGGUGCAGCGUUGGAGCUACUGCCUUACAGCGGCAGAGACCCGGGUUCGAUCCUGACAAUGGAUGCUUGUCUGUACGGAAUUUGUACGUUCUCCCCAUAACCUGCAUGGGUUUUCUCCGAGAUCUUCGCAUUCCUCCCACACUCCAAAGACAAAAAGGAAGUCUUCAGUGUAGUUGUGGCAUUGAAUCUGAUAAAUGUGAAUGGUAAUUCACGAAUCCCACAGAACAACAUGUGACAGGCAAAACAAUUAACCUGGAGUUUUCAACAAGAUGCAGCUUUGAAAUAUACAGAGGUGGGUGAUGUUGAAGCAAUUGAGAAGAAGAUGGUGCAGUUUUGAAAUUGGAGCUAGGUUUUGUUUGGUGUAGGGUGCUUGGAAUAAAUUAUUUGCAUAAAGUGAAGAUCUAUACUCCCUAGGUGAGGUCUGCAGCAUGAUUUUACUGAGACGUGCAAAACACAACGAAUUUUACUGUAUCUAGGUACAUGUGCCAAUAAAUUAUCAUUAAUUCAUUCAUUGAAAUGUCUUAGAGAGGGAGGUGGGGAUGGAUCAAUUGGUAGUUUUAAAACCGAGAUCUAUUUGUGGGAUGGACAAGGGACUUACUGAUAUGGAACAAGCAAAGUGAAUGGACAGGCCAACCAUGCUUUUGUUAAAUGGCGCUUGAAGGCUCGAAGGCUUGAAGGUUUCAAUCUGUUACUUAAGAAUGCACCUCGGUUUAAACCAGCAUCUGCCGUUCCUUCCUACACUUAAGAAAGCACGUCGUGCUAAAGAUGAACCGGAGAGUGAAUGGGAGAAUGCAGUGCUGUUUGAAACAGUGCUCGAGAUGGAUGCUGCGUU